UAUAAAUUUCAAUUAUAAAAAUGUAGCUUUAGUAUUGUAUAGACAAAUUAUACAUAUUGUAGUUAUAGACAUUUUAUACAUAUUGGGAAAAGGAAUCGCACCCAUUGAUGAAACCCCCUCGCCCAAUCUAACUUUACCCACCUAAAUUUUGAGGUAUGAGAAAUGGGAAGAAGGGUAUUUUGAAAUACCAUAUUAUUGCCCUAACGAAAUCGGUAUCAUCCAACACCGAUAGACAAAUCGUUAUGAUCCACCGCCGAUAACUUUCUAUGUAUCGAAUUUAUUGAAGAUUUGGACUGAAUAAAAAUGAUGGGCACAUAAGUAAUCCAAUCGGUUAUUGAAAUGAGGAGCGAAUCAAGUUCUGAACGUCAUAAAGAGAAUUAUAAUUGAACGUAAAAUUAGGAAAAUGGAUGGAGAAGGAUGGUACACGAGUAGAAGACAUAUAGAAAGCAAAGGAAAAAACGUCGAUGUGUUUGGAAUAAAUUUUUGGCUAUUUGGAAGAUUUUUCAAGAAGCAAAUAUUCAAAAUUUGAAAUUUGCUUAAAAAAGUUGUACAAAUUUAAAAAAAAAAUGUUAAAGCAAAAACUUAUCGUUGUAAACUGAAGUAAUAACAUUUGUAGCGCUUGAAAUUUGUUGGA
Molecule: non-coding RNA, 634 nt
Organism: Lactuca sativa (garden lettuce)
Lineage: Eukaryota; Viridiplantae; Streptophyta; Magnoliopsida; Asterales; Asteraceae
Source: RefSeq, a predicted model, not a curated record